This 449-nucleotide ribosomal RNA is filed under the name uncultured bacterium. Its description in RNAcentral is "partial 16S ribosomal RNA". It matches the Rfam family "Bacterial small subunit ribosomal RNA", at positions 29 to 523 of the family's 1533-position model. The record is from RNAcentral.
AACGAACGCUGGCGGCAGGCUUAACACAUGCAAGUCGAACGCAUCCUUCGGGGUGAGUGGCAGACGGGUGAGUAACGCGUGGGAACGUGCCCUUCAGUUCGGGAUAACCCAGGGAAACUUGGGCUAAUACCGGAUACGUGCGAGAGCAGAAAGAUUUAUCGCUGAAGGACCGUCCCGCGUCUGAUUAGCUAGUUGGUGGGGUAAUGGCCCACCAAGGCGACGAUCAGUCGCUGGUCUGAGAGGAUGAUCAGCCACAUUGGGACUGAGAAACGGACCAAACUGCAUCGGGCGGUGGCAGUGCGGAAUGUGGGACGAUGUCCGCAGGCCGGAUCCAGCGUUGACACGUGAGUGAUGACGGCGUUAGGGUUGUAAAGCUCUGUCGUCCUGGGCCAUAAUGACGGUACCGGAAGCACAAGCCCCGGCUAACUUCGUUCCAGCCGCCGCAGUAA